GACGAAGCGUGCAAACGUUAUUCGGAAUCACUGGGCAUAAAGGGCGCGUAGGCGGCUUUCUAAGUCAGGGGUGAAAUCCGGCAGCUCAACUGUCGCAGUGCCUUUGAUACUGGAGAGCUCGAGGGAGGUAGGGGUCUGUGGAACUUCCGGUGGAGCGGUGAAAUGCGUUGAUAUCGGAAGGAACGCCGGUGGCGAAAGCGACGGACUGGAUCUCUUCUGACGCUGAGGCGCGAAAGCCAGGGGAGCAAACGGG
RNAcentral lists this ribosomal RNA (253 nucleotides) under uncultured bacterium. RNAcentral describes it as "partial 16S ribosomal RNA". It matches the Rfam family "Bacterial small subunit ribosomal RNA", at positions 524 to 776 of the family's 1533-position model. The record is from RNAcentral.